RNAcentral lists this long non-coding RNA (3074 nucleotides) under Homo sapiens (human). Its description in RNAcentral is "HSALNT0208198". The record is from RNAcentral. Lineage: Eukaryota; Metazoa; Chordata; Mammalia; Primates; Hominidae.
GUGCGAGAGCGCCGGGGGUGUCCGCGCAGGGAUAGCUGGUGUGCGUGCAGCGGAAGGCGCUAACUGCCCUGGAUGUGGAGACCCGCGGACUGGACGUGAGAGGCGGGCAGGGGCAGUUGGGGCAGCUGCCCCUACAACACUGAAGAAUUGGAAUAGGAAAGAGUGUGGGGGUAGGGGACGGGGACUCUUUGUCUGCAGUUGGAAUGCGCGGAGGGGCAUGGUGGAAUGUGUCGCGUCCCGGGACCGGACGACAGGAGGCAUGUUCUGCGCUAGCACCGUGACUUUGUUCCCAGCGUGGGGACUGUGGGAGAGAUGGAGAGAGACUGGUACAGAAAUGGUGAGACAAGGAGAGAGCCAUAAAGAGGAAGACAGAGAGAAAGAAGACAAAUGCAUAAAGAGGUUCAGAGACGUGUACGUAAAGAUAGCCCUGAAAGGCGACGAAGCCCACAGAGAGAGGUGGAAGAGGGAAGAGGUAGCGAAAGAAAGGGAGAGCUGAGGAGCAAAGAGGAGUGUGGACGAUGCAGAGACCGAAGGGUGCGCAGACAAAGGAAAGGACAAGCUUGUCCAGAGAGAAUGAGAGACAAACAGAUAAACUGCAAUAAAAAGGCACCACCUUCUGGACCCAAAAGUUUUGUGAUUUGUAAAAGCAGUGAAAAGGAGUCAGGAAAAUGGGACUAAUCUGUGACUGUGGAGAUCGAAGGCCUGGUUUUAGGGCUAGCGAACACCUUCUCCCUUUGGUUUUGGUCCACAGAAGACUGGUGAUACAGAUUGCAUUGUCUCCCUGACCUCAUCUCCCCUGAGAAUCAGCCUCUGUUUCCCUGGUCAAGGCCACGGCUUUUCUCUGAUCCUGAGGAGAGUUUCCUACCAGAGUGGAAGCAGGGAGGACUGAAAGCACUAGGAACAGAGGGGAGCUAUCGGAUUGCAUCUAGAACCUGCUGUGAGCAACAUCUUCAGAAUUAACCAUAAUGUGUUCCCUCCUUUCCUGUGUCCAGAUGAGGAAGGAGAACUUUGAUUCUUCCUUCCAAUUACAUCCAAAAUAUCCACACAACUACUAAUAUUUGGAAGCUUUGAUCCUUUGGGGUGAGGAUGCGAGAGGAAAUCUUAUGAAAUGUUGGGAGGCCAUUAAAGGAGGCCCAUGCAAGAGUUGGUGGUAGCAAUGGGCACAACUGGGAUGAACAGCCUGUGUUUUCAAGGGAUAACUGGAAGCAGAGAUGAGUGAAGGGGAAGAAGUAGAAGACGCAUAUGCUAAUAGGGCAUGCUCCAAUAGUGCUCAUGACCUCAGGUGGCCUCUCCACAGUCUAAACUGGAGCUGGGAUCUCCAAAGGCCCUCUUCGUUCCCAAGACUUUAAUUAUAAUCUGUAUAUGCAGGUGACUCCCUAAUCCAUAUUUCCAGCCCAGUCUUUCUUGGAAUUAAAAACUCAACUAACUACUAGCAUCUCCAAUGGCUGUCUCAGAAGCACCCAAUAUCCUAAACUGAUCUCAUCUUCUCUGCCUCAUGAAACUGGCUCCUCUAACAUUCUCUGAGUAAAUGGCACAAUCCUGUUAGCUGCUUAAACUAGAAAUCUGAGCGUCAACCCUAUGUCCUCCUUCUCCCUUAACCUCAAAUCCAACCAAGUCCUAUCAAUCACCAAGUUCUAUUAAUUCUGCUUCCUAAACAUCUUCCAAAUCUGUCCUCCCCUCAUCACCACUAUAUAUGUCAAGUCACCGUCUUUCCUCUCCGAAACCAAUGCAAAAGUCUCCUGGCCAAGGCUUGCUCCCUGCAAUCCAUCUUAUACCCUGAGGUCAAGUGAUUUUUUUCAGUACAGAAGCUUUACGACUUACAAUGGAGUUAUGUCUGAAUAAACCCAUCCAUUAUAAAUUGAAAAUAUCGUAAGGCAGAAGUGCUUCUUCAACUUCACCAUAUUUUCAGCUUAAAAUGGGUUUAUCUGAUAUAACUGCAUCAUAAGGUGAGGAGCAUACUGAAUCAUUUCGCACCAUCGUAAAGUUGAAAAAUCCUAAGUCGAACCAUCGUUGAGUUGGGGACUGCCUGUAGGCAAAACCUGUCGUUUUAUUUCCCUGCUAAAACAAACUUUCAAUGAUUUCUCACUGCCCUUGGGUUGAAGUCUGUACUCUGUAUUAUGAGGUCUGUCUCACUCUCCAGCCUCUCCUCUAGCAUUAUCCCUUCCCCAAAAGUCUGCAGUAGAACUGGACCUUGUCUGUACUCUCUCUUGCCCCUGGACUUUUGUACCUGCAGUUCCCUGUUUGGAACACUCUCUUAGCCUCCCCUUUCCUUCUGGUUAACUCUUCCCCAGUUUAGACAUUACACCCUCUCAGAAGAAGCCUUUCCAGACUGCAAGAGUAGGUUAGCUACCCCUGCUGUAUAUUGCCAUAGUGCACUACACUCCACCAUGGUCACCCUUAUCACAGUUCAUUUCAUUGCCUACUCCACUGCCUGGCUUCCUGACUAAACUAAAAAAAUCUCUGAACAGCAUCCAACCUUAUCAACAAUGUAUCCAUAGCACAGUACCUGACACCUAGUAAAGCGAUCAAUGUUUGUUAUAAGACUGAAUAAAUGUAAAGCCAUUUUUGCUUUUCAAUCCAUCCAAAAUGCACACCCCUUCCUCAAAAUACAGCUUGGCUGACAGGACCAAGAAACAGCUACAAAGCUGUGUAUUUUGCUUGGUCACAUAGUGAGAGAGAGGCUGCCGGUGAGACACGGGAACUCUUUAAGCCUUAAUUUCCUCAUCUGUAAGAUAGGAAUAGUAAAAUUUUCCUCAUGUAAUUCAAUAAACAAUAGCUAUUAUAUCAGGAACCCAAUUCCCCAAUAGUGAUAGAACUUGUGUUCCCUUGGUCAGAAGACUCAAGCUCAUGACUGAAACUGCCCACCAGGUGGCGGUAUUAACCUGCACUGGUCAUGUUCGGUUUCCACUGCAGAGCAAGACAAGUAGUCACAGGGAAGCAAAAGGUACAACCUGGGCUGCUUCCUCAGAGCUUUGGGUGGAACUGGGCAGGGGCAGAAACAACUCAGAGACAGGGCAUAUGUCAAGAAGGCCUCAUGUUUCUUGGACCCAUCCUCCUCAUUUUCUCAUCCCAGG